UACGAAGGGUGCAAGCGUUAAUCGGAAUUACUGGGCGUAAAGGGUGCGUAGGCGGUUAUUUAAGUCUGCCGUGAAAUCCCCGGGCUCAACCUGGGAAUGGCGGUGGAUACUGGAUAGCUAGAGUGUGUCAGAGGAUGGUGGAAUUCCCGGUGUAGCGGUGAAAUGCGUAGAGAUCGGGAGGAACAUCAGUGGCGAAGGCGGCCAUCUGGGACAACACUGACGCUGAAGCAGGAAAGCGUGGGGAGCAAACAGG
This 253-nucleotide ribosomal RNA is filed under the name uncultured bacterium. RNAcentral describes it as "partial 16S ribosomal RNA". It matches the Rfam family "Bacterial small subunit ribosomal RNA", at positions 524 to 776 of the family's 1533-position model. The record is from RNAcentral.